Long non-coding RNA from Lycium barbarum (goji berry), 698 nucleotides. RefSeq lists it as uncharacterized. The transcript has 3 exons. Lineage: Eukaryota; Viridiplantae; Streptophyta; Magnoliopsida; Solanales; Solanaceae. The record is from RefSeq and is a predicted model, not a curated record.
CAAAGCAAAGAAGAGCAAAUUAAAAGGGCCAUACGGCCAAGCUCUUGAAAAAUUGACCCUUUGAAAUCUUUCUCCAAAAAUUAUUUUCUUGUGGUAUUUCUACUAAUUCAAGGGUCCUUUACAACUUGGUGUAAUUAUUUUGGAAGAAAGAGCACUUGUUUCUUCAAGUUGACAACUUGGUCAAGUGAAAAAGAUUGUAGAAAAAGAUUUUGGCGAACUUGAAACUUGAUUUUGGAGACGUGUAUGAAGCGGAAAAGGUCAACAGGUAGACAAAUUUGACUCUUAGAAGCUCCAUCAGCAGUACUGUGGCAGCGCUCCAGUUGUUCCGGAGCCUCAGUUUCUUGGUACUACUUUUGUGUACAUAUUCGGGCACGGUAGAACCGGUCCUUCUUGUAUAUGUAGAUGUACUUUGUUUAGAGGCUCGUAGACAGAUAUGUACAGUCAGAUGUUUUGUACUUUUGUGGUCCUCGUCGUUGUAUAAUGUGCUAGCAAAGUUUAUAAGUCCAUGUCUACAAUUAUGCCAUUAAUGUUAGCGUUAAGCAACAUAAAAAAAAAGAUACGGUAUAGUCUAUACGGCCCACCUAGUAGUAAAAGUACGAUACGAGAUAAGGGGUGCUCGGUACAAGUAUCGGGUACCCGUCGCGGCCCCUAGUUGGGUCGUGACAUUUAGCUUCACACUUGGGACAAUGAGGAUUAUC